Long non-coding RNA from Gavialis gangeticus (Gharial), 186 nucleotides. RefSeq lists it as uncharacterized. Lineage: Eukaryota; Metazoa; Chordata; Crocodylia; Gavialidae. The record is from RefSeq and is a predicted model, not a curated record. The transcript is spliced from 2 exons.
UUUUGCUACCUAGUUUCUCCUUAUCAAGAUGUCUCCACAAACAUUUGCUAAUGGACAUACCCACAAAGGAACUGGAUGGGUAGGUUUUUUUUUUUUUUUUUUUUUUAAAAAAAAAAAAGUUAGGCCACAGAAGUUACUGGAAGGGGAGGGGUAGAGGGUACUUUUCUUUGAGAACUGAAUACUUCC